RNAcentral lists this long non-coding RNA (885 nucleotides) under Bos taurus (domestic cattle). RNAcentral describes it as "long non-coding RNA NONBTAT026716". Lineage: Eukaryota; Metazoa; Chordata; Mammalia; Artiodactyla; Bovidae. The record is from RNAcentral.
GGUACUUGUUGGAGUGACCAGACAAAGAACCAUUGAUGUCCUGCAGCCAAAAAUCACACCGUGACAUCAAAUGUUUCAUCAAGUAAACAGCAAGGAGUUCUUUAGGCUGUGUUCUCUAGACCUGAAAAUGUCCUCCAUGGUUCAGUCAACAAAUAUCUCUGUAGAAAACCUGAAAAAAUGUUCUCUCAGCUAUCCAUGAACAUUUCAGUCUAGGGCAAACAAAUAAUGUUUGUUUCAAAAACAGACGUCUGUUUCACGCACACAUGCCCAAGCCCCAUCAUAGCUCCCCCUUUCUUUGUCCGCAGUGGAAGUUAAUGUUUUCAUGUCAGCUAUCUAAUGUGAACAAAAUGAUUUCUAAAUGUAGAAACACUGCUAAUGCACUUAGGUGAAAUUGCUGGCAGGGCAAACAAGCAACUCAUUGGGGGUGAAGUCAUCCUCUUGGAAAUCUACCUUGGUACCCAUUGUGAGCUCUAAGAGGUGGAUCAGAAAGCUGAUUUUCCCAUCUGCUAUAAAAUGGAACCUGGACUGAGGGCAUCAGGAAAGUCAGCUUGCUGAUUCAGUAACUAUAUGACUUCUUUUUCCGCUUCAGAAAUGGGGCACUUGACAGGCUUCAUGCUUGCUUUUUGAUGUUGCUUCUGUAGAUGAGUUAGUGAAGGAGCUAGUCUGUCAAAUAUUGUCAUUGAAUUCUGAUCCCUUCUGUGUUUUUAACUGACAGUCUGAAUCACCAGUGUCAAUUGCUGCAUUCUGAUACAGGUACAGUAAAUUGAGGGCAUUCCGUGACCAAGACUUACAGUUUAGAAACAACCCACCUGAAUGCUGUUUUCACCAUGUGGAUACCUGAAAAGACCUCCCCUCUUUCUAAAACCUAAUAAGAACAACGUACAG